RNAcentral lists this transfer RNA (75 nucleotides) under Metasolibacillus meyeri. RNAcentral's name for it is "tRNA-Arg". It matches the Rfam family "tRNA". From Rfam's summary of the family: Transfer RNA (tRNA) molecules are approximately 80 nucleotides in length. Their secondary structure includes four short double-helical elements and three loops (D, anti-codon, and T loops). Further hydrogen bonds mediate the characteristic L-shaped molecular structure. tRNAs have two regions of fundamental functional importance: the anti-codon, which is responsible for specific mRNA codon recognition, and the 3' end, to which the tRNAs corresponding amino acid is attached (by aminoacyl-tRNA synthetases). tRNAs cope with the degeneracy of the genetic code in two manners: having more than one tRNA (with a specific anti-codon) for a particular amino acid; and 'wobble' base-pairing, i.e. permitting non-standard base-pairing at the 3rd anti-codon position. The record is from RNAcentral. Lineage: Bacteria; Bacillati; Bacillota; Bacilli; Caryophanales; Caryophanaceae. RNAcentral also lists the same sequence under 4 other names.
GUCCUCGUGGUGUAAUGGAUAACACUGAAGAUUCCGGUUCUUCCGCUGGGGGUUCGAUUCCCUCCGAGGGCACCA